RNAcentral lists this small RNA (1299 nucleotides) under Histoplasma capsulatum. Its description in RNAcentral is "hypothetical RNA". Lineage: Eukaryota; Fungi; Ascomycota; Eurotiomycetes; Onygenales; Ajellomycetaceae. RNAcentral also lists the same sequence under 1 other name. The record is from RNAcentral.
GGUUGAAAACUGUUGAACACUGUGGAGGAAAAGCGCCAUGCCGCUGGGAAAAACUCGAUACUACCACCGCCAACGAACUUAUUGCUCCCCCAACUGUUGCCUUUUCGGCCCUGGAAGUUGGAAUACAUUCUUCACGCUAUCGAUCAGCAACUGGUUUCGCUCAUGAUCGCCGCUAUCUGGAGACCCACCAACACAGAUCAUGAAUUUGUUCCCUUCCAACUUACAUGUCAAGGGUUGAAGGAAGAGACAAGGUAGGCAUGCAGGUAGGAUCUUCGGAUAUUAUUUAUCCUUAAUUCGGGGCCAUAUUCUGACGAUUUUCGCUACCAAAAGAGCCAACACGCAAACAAACGAAAGGCAAAAAGCAGGGGGGCCCGAUAUAACUCCUGUAUGAGUCUGGAUAGUUAAUUAACUAUCCUAACUCACACUAACUCACAACUCAACAUUUUGUAAUAAAAAGCUUCUAUCCCGGCUAUAUUUCGGUUUCCCCCCCCCCACCUUCCCCUACACGGGUAACAGUGAGUGGUACGAUCUAUCUGUCUCAACUCCAUUGCUAACAGCGAAACGGAAGCCACACCGCGGAGUCACGGACUGAUGAUUCGAACAUCCAUGAACCCGAGUCCCUGAGAGGUCAAGAUGUGGGUCGUCAGGGGCUUGCCGAGGAGAAGGAUCGAAUACUUCGGAGUGAGAGAGCAUUUUGAACAGAAGCCAAGAGGCUCCAGGUCUGGUAACGUCUCCGCUCGGGUUAAGUCAAGGGGCUCGACUCGUAGUUACUUCUAUUUUUGGUGCCCUGUUCCUCGUAAGGAUUGAACUAUUUAUCAUUAUUUAAUGCACCAUGCCCGGCCAAGACUGGCUAGGAGUUUUAGCUACUACCUUUCAAGGAUCUAACGGAGUAAUCAGCCACAAGCUUUCAGCUUUCGGCAUCUGCAGUUCUGAGGCAUUUGCAGACGCCUGAAAUAUAAUAUCAACGCUUGGCCUCGGAUCAUUCCAACCCCGAUGCCGUAUACCUAACUUCACAACCAAGCUUUAGUCUAAUUCCUUGGGACCAGGUUGAGGUGCGCGGGACUGGUGUAUAUAAUAUAUAUUCAUACAAGGCAAAAAGCACUGGGACAUUCUAUUCAUUUCGCUGCAUAAACUGUUAUUGAUGCUAACUGUGGAGCACACUUCGCGGUCUCAUGGGCUGCUAGUGCUCUCUGCAGAGAAGAGAUUUGAUCGAGUUACGCUGCGGAGUGAGGUGAACUGAGGUCAAUGGAAGUGACUAAAAUGUGCCAAUAGUUACUAGUAACCUUUCAAUCAAGGCGG